RNAcentral lists this ribosomal RNA (253 nucleotides) under uncultured bacterium. RNAcentral describes it as "partial 16S ribosomal RNA". It matches the Rfam family "Bacterial small subunit ribosomal RNA", at positions 524 to 776 of the family's 1533-position model. The record is from RNAcentral.
UACGAAGGGGGCUAGCGUUGCUCGGAAUCACUGGGCGUAAAGCGCACGUAGGCGGCUUUCUAAGUCAGGGGUGAAAUCCUGGAGCUCAACUCCAGAACUGCCUUUGAUACUGGGAAGCUUGAGUCCGGAAGAGGUGAGUGGAACUGCGAGUGUAGAGGUGAAAUUCGUAGAUAUUCGCAAGAACACCAGUGGCGAAGGCGGCUCACUGGCCCGAUACUGACGCUGAGGCACGAAAGCGUGGGGAGCAAACAGG